Molecule: long non-coding RNA, 581 nt
Filed under: Theobroma cacao (cacao)
Lineage: Eukaryota; Viridiplantae; Streptophyta; Magnoliopsida; Malvales; Malvaceae
Description: long non-coding RNA (TCAC_LNC002144)
Source: RNAcentral
UGGUAUAUUUUUUGGCAUAAUACUAGAAUGAAUCUUUAUUUCUCCCUCCCUCUCGGCCUCUCCUCCCCCAUGUUGGGUUUUGAAACAGGAAACCUCGGCUGGCAUCAGUAUUUUAGCGACCUCAAACAUACUUCCAGGCACGUUCUCUUUCCCUCUUAUGCAUUUCAAGUAUGAUCUUGUUGUUUCAUCAGUAUUGUCGUCUUAAAACUGUUCCUCUCGGGAAAUUGUUAACCAGUAUUUCCUGUUGCAUGGCAAUUGGCAUGUUUUCAUCGGUUUGAAUGUGAUCCCUUUCCUUUAUUCCUUUGCUAAUAAGCACAAGCUAUCCACUGGUCCACCAAGGUAAAGGGUAAUGCAACAGUUGAAUCUUAUCAAGUACCCAAAGACCACGAAGAAAAAAUGGAUCUAUCAUCCAUGCAAGAAAGGGUUACUAGCUAUUGUAAAUGGUUUAUUUGAUUAAGACUUAGCUGGUUUGAAUCAACUUAUAGAUGCUCAGAUCACAAUAAGCAUAGAAACCUGUGUUAGCAAUACCCAACAAUCCGUUUUUCCUUUCCAGUUAUUUAGCAUUAUAAAACACUACUUCA